UACGUAGGGGGCUAGCGUUGUCCGGAUUCAUUGGGCGUAAAGAGCGUGUAGGCGGCCAGGUAGGUCCGACGUGAAAACUGGAGGCUCAACCUCCAGCUGUCGUCGGAAACCCUCUGGCUAGAGUCCGGAAGAGGAGAGCGGAAUUCCUGGUGUAGCGGUGAAAUGCGCAGAUAUCAGGAAGAACACCGAUGGCGAAGGCAGCUCUCUGGGACGGUACUGACGCUGAGACGCGAAAGCGUGGGGAGCGAACAGG
Molecule: ribosomal RNA, 253 nt
Filed under: uncultured bacterium
Lineage: Bacteria
Description: partial 16S ribosomal RNA
Rfam family: Bacterial small subunit ribosomal RNA
Source: RNAcentral